This 1097-nucleotide ribosomal RNA is filed under the name Klebsiella sp. RNAcentral describes it as "bacterial SSU rRNA". It matches the Rfam family "Bacterial small subunit ribosomal RNA", at positions 33 to 1123 of the family's 1533-position model. Lineage: Bacteria; Pseudomonadati; Pseudomonadota; Gammaproteobacteria; Enterobacterales; Enterobacteriaceae. The record is from RNAcentral.
UCGCAUGCGGCAGGCUACACAUGCAGUCGAGCGGUAGCACAGAGAGCUUGCUCUCGGGUGACGAGCGGCGGACGGGUGAGUAAUGUCUGGGAAACUGCCUGAUGGAGGGGGAUAACUACUGGAAACGGUAGCUAAUACCGCAUAACGUCGCAAGACCAAAGUGGGGGACCUUCGGGCCUCAUGCCAUCAGAUGUGCCCAGAUGGGAUUAGCUGGUAGGUGGGGUAACGGCUCACCUAGGCGACGAUCCCUAGCUGGUCUGAGAGGAUGACCAGCCACACUGGAACUGAGACACGGUCCAGACUCCUACGGGAGGCAGCAGUGGGGAAUAUUGCACAAUGGGCGCAAGCCUGAUGCAGCCAUGCCGCGUGUGUGAAGAAGGCCUUCGGGUUGUAAAGCACUUUCAGCGGGGAGGAAGGCGGUGAGGUUAAUAACCUCAUCGAUUGACGUUACCCGCAGAAGAAGCACCGGCUAACUCCGUGCCAGCAGCCGCGGUAAUACGGAGGGUGCAAGCGUUAAUCGGAAUUACUGGGCGUAAAGCGCACGCAGGCGGUCUGUCAAGUCGGAUGUGAAAUCCCCGGGCUCAACCUGGGAACUGCAUUCGAAACUGGCAGGCUAGAGUCUUGUAGAGGGGGGUAGAAUUCCAGGUGUAGCGGUGAAAUGCGUAGAGAUCUGGAGGAAUACCGGUGGCGAAGGCGGCCCCAUGGACAAAGACUGACGCUCAGGUGCGAAAGCGUGGGGAGCAAACAGGAUUAGAUACCCUGGUAGUCCACGCUGUAAACGAUGUCGAUUUGGAGGUUGUGCCCUUGAGGCGUGGCUUCCGGAGCUAACGCGUUAAAUCGACCGCCUGGGGAGUACGGCCGCAAGGUUAAAACUCAAAUGAAUUGACGGGGGCCCGCACAAGCGGUGGAGCAUGUGGUUUAAUUCAGUGCAACGCGAAGAACCUUACCUGGGCUUGACAUCCACAGAACUUUCCUGAAAUGGAUUGGUGCCUUCGGGAACUGUUAAACAGGGGCUGCAUGGCUGACUUCAACUCUUGUUGGGAAAUGUUGGGUUAAGUCCCCCAACCAACCGCAACCAUUAUCCUUUGUUUCCAACU